This 497-nucleotide ribosomal RNA is filed under the name uncultured bacterium. Its description in RNAcentral is "partial 16S ribosomal RNA". It matches the Rfam family "Bacterial small subunit ribosomal RNA", at positions 28 to 507 of the family's 1533-position model. The record is from RNAcentral.
GAUGAACGCUGGCGGCGUGCCUAAUACAUGCAAGUCGAGCGAACAGAUGAGGAGCUUGCUCCUCUGACGUUAGCGGCGGACGGGUGAGUAACACGUGGAUAACCUACCUAUAAGACUGGGAUAACUUCGGGAAACCGGAGUUAAUACCGGAUAAUAUAUUGAACUGCAUGGUUCAAUAGUGAAAGACGGUUUUGCUGUCACUUAUAGAUGGAUCCGCGCCGCAUUAGCUAGUUGGUAAGGUAACGGCUUACCAAGGCAACGAUGCGUAGCCGACCUGAGAGGGUGAUCGGCCACACUGGAACUGAGACACGGUCCAGACUCCUACGGGAGGCAGCAGUAGGGAAUCUUCCGCAAUGGGCGAAAGCCUGACGGAGCAACGCCGCGUGAGUGAUGAAGGUCUUCGGAUCGUAAAACUCUGUUAUUAGGGAAGAACAAAUGUGUAAGUAACUAUGCACGUCUUGACGGUACCUAAUCAGAAAGCCACGGCUAACUACGUG